This 253-nucleotide ribosomal RNA is filed under the name uncultured bacterium. RNAcentral describes it as "partial 16S ribosomal RNA". It matches the Rfam family "Bacterial small subunit ribosomal RNA", at positions 524 to 776 of the family's 1533-position model. The record is from RNAcentral.
UACGUAGGGUGCAAGCGUUGUCCGGAAUUAUUGGGCGUAAAGAGCUCGUAGGCGGUUUGUCGCGUCUGCUGUGAAAAUCCAGGGCUUAACCCUGGACCUGCAGUGGGUACGGGCAGACUAGAGUGCGGUAGGGGAGAUCGGAAUUCCUGGUGUAGCGGUGAAAUGCGCAGAUAUCAGGAAGAACACCGAUGGCGAAGGCAGUUCUCUGGGACGGUACUGACGCUGAGACGCGAAAGCGUGGGGAGCGAACAGG